GAACUUAGGAUAAUUAGACCAAGGGCCUUCAAAGCCCUAAGUAGAAGUUAAACCCUUCUAGUUUC
This 65-nucleotide transfer RNA is filed under the name Scaphiophryne sp. TNHC-GDC 14371. Its description in RNAcentral is "tRNA-Trp". It matches the Rfam family "tRNA". From Rfam's summary of the family: Transfer RNA (tRNA) molecules are approximately 80 nucleotides in length. Their secondary structure includes four short double-helical elements and three loops (D, anti-codon, and T loops). The record is from RNAcentral. Lineage: Eukaryota; Metazoa; Chordata; Amphibia; Anura; Microhylidae.